This 61-nucleotide transfer RNA is filed under the name Marmota monax (woodchuck). RNAcentral describes it as "tRNA.Gly". The record is from RNAcentral. Lineage: Eukaryota; Metazoa; Chordata; Mammalia; Rodentia; Sciuridae.
GAGGCUGUGGUUCAGUGGUAGAGCACUUGCCUACCAUGCAAAGGUUCGAUCCCCUGCACCA